This 402-nucleotide ribosomal RNA is filed under the name uncultured bacterium. Its description in RNAcentral is "bacterial SSU rRNA". It matches the Rfam family "Bacterial small subunit ribosomal RNA", at positions 355 to 774 of the family's 1533-position model. The record is from RNAcentral.
UUGGGAAUCUUGGACAAUGGGGGAAACCCUGAUCCAGCCAUGCCGCGUGAGUGAUGAAGGCCUUAGGGUUGUAAAGCUCUUUCGCACGCGACGAUAAUGACGGUAGCGUGAGAAGAAGCCCCGGCUAACUUCGUGCCAGCAGCCGCGGGAAUACGAAGGGGGCUAGCGUUGUUCGGAAUUACUGGGCGUAAAGCGCGCGCAGGCGGGUCAUCAAGUCAGAGGUGAAAGCCCGGAGCUUAACUCCGGAAUAGCCUUUGAAACUGUUGAUCUUGAGUACGGGAGAGGUUAGUGGAAUUCCCAGUGUAGAGGUGAAAUUCGUAGAUAUUGGGAAGAACACCAGUGGCGAAGGCGGCUCACUGGCCCGUUACUGACGCUCAGGCGCGAUAGCGUGGGGAUCAAACA